UACGUAGGUGGCAAGCGUUGUCCGGAUUUAUUGGGUUUAAAGGGUGCGUAGGCGGUCUUCUAAGUCAGUGCUGAAAUAUCCCGGCUUAACCGGGAGGGUGGCAUUGAUACUGGGAGACUUGAGUAAAGUUGAGGUAGGCGGAAUUGACGGUGUAGCGGUGAAAUGCUUAGAUAUCGUAAGGAAGACCAGUGGCGAAGGCGGGUCUCUGGACAGUUCCUGACGCUGAGGCACGAAGGUCAGGGGAGCAAACGGGG
This 254-nucleotide ribosomal RNA is filed under the name uncultured bacterium. RNAcentral's name for it is "partial 16S ribosomal RNA". It matches the Rfam family "Bacterial small subunit ribosomal RNA", at positions 524 to 777 of the family's 1533-position model. The record is from RNAcentral.